GGCCUAUCUGGCCUGCGGGAUCGCCCUGCUGGCGGCGGUGCGGGCCGGGCGGCUGCCGGACACGGUGCGGCUCGGAUCCGCCUGGGCCUCC
This 91-nucleotide transfer RNA is filed under the name Streptomyces caelestis. RNAcentral's name for it is "tRNA-Ala". The record is from RNAcentral. Lineage: Bacteria; Bacillati; Actinomycetota; Actinomycetes; Kitasatosporales; Streptomycetaceae.